Molecule: ribosomal RNA, 465 nt
Filed under: uncultured bacterium
Lineage: Bacteria
Description: partial 16S ribosomal RNA
Rfam family: Bacterial small subunit ribosomal RNA
Source: RNAcentral
CCUACGGGAGGCAGCAGUAGGGAAUCUUCCACAAUGGACGAAAGUCUGAUGGAGCAACGCCGCGUGAGUGAAGGAGUGUUUCGGCUCGUAAAGCUCUGUUGGUAGUGAAGAAAGAUGGAGGUAGUAACUGGCCUUUAUUUGACGGUAAUUACUUAGAAAGUCACGGCUAACUACGUGCCAGCAGCCGCGGUAAUACGUAGGUGGCAAGCGUUGUCCGGAUUUAUUGGGCGUAAGGCGAGUGCAGGCGGUGCGAUAAGUCUGAUGUGAAAGCCUUCGGCUCAACCGGGGAAUUGCAUCAGAAACGGUUGAACUUGAGUGCAGAAGAGGAGGGUGGAAGUCCAUGUGUAGCGGUGGAAUGCGUAGAUAUAAGGAAGAACACCAGUGGCGAAGGCGGCUUUCUGGUCUGCAACUGACGUUGAGGCUCGAAAGCAUGGGUAGCGAACAGGAUUAGAUACCCUAGUAGUC